RNAcentral lists this ribosomal RNA (492 nucleotides) under uncultured bacterium. RNAcentral's name for it is "partial 16S ribosomal RNA". It matches the Rfam family "Bacterial small subunit ribosomal RNA", at positions 29 to 507 of the family's 1533-position model. The record is from RNAcentral.
AGUGAACGCUGGCGGUAGGCCUAACACAUGCAAGUCGAACGGCAGCACAGUAAGAGCUUGCUCUUACGGGUGGCGAGUGGCGGACGGGUGAGGAAUACAUCGGAAUCUACUUUUUCGUGGGGGAUAACGUAGGGAAACUUACGCUAAUACCGCAUACGACCUACGGGUGAAAGCAGGGGAUCUUCGGACCUUGCGCGAUUGAAUGAGCCGAUGUCGGAUUAGCUAGUUGGCGGGGUAAAGGCCCACCAAGGCGACGAUCCGUAGCUGGUCUGAGAGGAUGAUCAGACACACUGGAACUGAGACGCGGUCCAGACUCCUACGGGAGGCAGCAGUGGGGAAUAUUGGACAAUGGGCGCAAGCCUGAUCCAACCAUACCGCGUGGGUGAAGAAGGCCUUCGGGUUGUAAAGCCCUUUUGUUGGGAAAGAAAAGCAGCAGGUUAAUACCCCGCUGUUCUGGCGGUACCCAAAGAAUAAGCACCGGCUAACUUCGUG